UACGUAGGGGGCAAGCGUUGUCCGGAAUCAUUGGGCGUAAAGAGCGUGUAGGCGGUCCGUUAAGUCGGCUGUGAAAGUCCAAGGCUCAACCUUGGGAUGCCGGUCGAUACUGCCGGGCUAGAGUUCGGAAGAGGCGAGUGGAAUUCCCGGUGUAGCGGUGAAAUGCGCAGAUAUCGGGAGGAACACCUAUGGCGAAGGCAGCUCGCUGGGACGUUACUGACGCUGAGACGCGAAAGCGUGGGGAGCGAACAGG
RNAcentral lists this ribosomal RNA (253 nucleotides) under uncultured bacterium. RNAcentral's name for it is "partial 16S ribosomal RNA". It matches the Rfam family "Bacterial small subunit ribosomal RNA", at positions 524 to 776 of the family's 1533-position model. The record is from RNAcentral.